This 68-nucleotide transfer RNA is filed under the name Oreolalax rhodostigmatus (red-spotted toothed toad). RNAcentral describes it as "tRNA-Met". Lineage: Eukaryota; Metazoa; Chordata; Amphibia; Anura; Megophryidae. The record is from RNAcentral.
AGUAAAGUCAGCUAAUUAAGCUUUUGGGCUCAUGCCCCAAACAUGUGGAAUAAAAUACACCUUUACUA